This 303-nucleotide long non-coding RNA is filed under the name Gossypium barbadense (sea-island cotton). RNAcentral's name for it is "long non-coding RNA (GBAR_LNC020097)". Lineage: Eukaryota; Viridiplantae; Streptophyta; Magnoliopsida; Malvales; Malvaceae. The record is from RNAcentral.
GGGAACUAUAUGGCCCAGUCCAGUAUCCACCACAGUUCAUGGAUUUCAUGCGUGUGGGACCCACGAGCCCAAUGUGGAUUUCAUUUUAACCCAACAUGGCCCAUUAUAGCCUAAGCCCAUAAAAACGCUCAUGGAGGCCUCUAUAGUCCAACACCAUGUUUCAUGGGCUCAAAUUACCAUACAAGCGUUCGUACACUCAUAUGGCCUCGUACACUGUCUUUCUUGGCUUUUCAGUUUUUGUCAACUUGCAGUUAAAGGGGUGUGAUCACAAACCUAGAUUCUAUUUGCCGAGAAACCUCUCAC